GGAGCCGCGCACCUCCUCACCUCUCCUCCGAACAAUGCGUGCACACCUCGGGCCUCGGCUCCUGACCGUGCCUCUCCUCCUCUGCAGGUGCAGAUCUGGAAGAGACUGGAAAGGAGGGUGCGAAAAGCAGGGAGGUGAUGAGGCUCAAUAAAGAAGCGAAUGCGGUUUGUCCAAGGUUGACUUCUACUGGCAUGUAGAUCUGUGGAGAGAGGAUUACAAAGUUGCAAGCAUUUACAGAAGAUGCAAAAUUUGAUGCAUAAAUGUAUGUGCCACAAAAAAAAAAAAAAAAAAAAGGCAACUUUAUCUGCUUAUCUAAUCAGGAAGGUGAAACAGAAUUGUGUAACUUAUCUGACAAAUCACUACCAGCCAACCAGCUUAGCUAGAAGAGGGGUUAUUGGAAUUGGAGCAGCAUUUGGAAUUUAUGUUGAAUUUUUAAAAAGUUGAAUGGCGAAUUUGAAGAAUUGAAGAUUUUCUUAUAGAUAGCAUGAAUAGCAAAGAGAGUCCGUAUUUAUUUGGCAAUUUGUGCCCUGUAAACAUUACCAUAACUGCAAGCUUAAGACAGAUACUGUGGUACUUUAUUAUUGGCAAUAUCCUGUACCUGAUUUUAGAUUAAUUUUGAAGGUAUAUGUUCUACUUUGUACAUUUAAUCACAUUCUUCUACUGUUUUCUUAUUUUUUUUUCCUUUAUUAAUAUGUAUGUAUAAUCAGUUUAGCAAAUGUGCAAGGAUUAAGUGCUGGGACUAUUUCCAGGCAGACACUGCCUGUAAAAGAGCAAAAGAUACCCUGUGCAUCUUCCCUAACUACAGCAGAGUUAGAUGUGACCUGUGGGAUUUAGAUCUAUAUCUGGGUACUUGGUGUCAUAGCCAGCUUCAGAUUCUCAGUUCAUUGGGUUUGUAUUAUUGAGGUUUCAAUCUGAUGUGUGUGUUUUGUCUUAGAUAAUCUUUUCAGUAACCAUUCUGACUCGUUGUUUAGCAUUAAGGAUGUUAUAUAAAAAUGGCUCUAUUCUGUUUUUCUGAUUUCUGUGUUUAAAAUUUGAGAUUUUCAGUAUGAUGCUUGUAUAUCUCCAAACAUGACAAUUUUACUUGAAGCUUACAUAUGUAAAGUAGAACUUAAAAUCUAUUGGUUUUCCAAUACUAACUUUUUUUUUUUUUUUAAACUUUCCAUAUGAAUAUCUGAUGGAGAGUUACUUGGUAAAUGCUCUGGCACCAUCAGAACUAAUCUAAGAGGAUUCCAAUUAAUUUUUCUUUCAGGAUUUUGUUCUUCAGUGAAGCAUCUUGAUGCAUUUAUUAUUCUUCGUAGGGGAAAAAAAUAAGAAGUUAAGGAGGUUGGGAGAUGGCAGGGAACACUUCAGUACAGAAGAAGGAUGUAGCAUAUAGUAUUGUUUUGUAUGAGAAAUGAGGAAGAAGACUAAAAUUAUUUAUGAGGAUAUUGUGAAAGAAGGGAAGACAAAAACAGCUGGUUGAUGUAAGCAUAGAGUUCGGAGUUGAUUUUAUUAUUAUUUUUUUAAUUAUUUUAAUUUUAGUUUGUUUACUAGUGGCUUGUGAAUGGUGCCGUCUCCUUUGGAAACAUUUCAAACAAAAACUGUAGAAUAAAACUUGUUUUUAUUCCCUCA
This is a non-coding RNA of Meleagris gallopavo (turkey), 1611 nucleotides long. The record is from RefSeq and is a predicted model, not a curated record. Lineage: Eukaryota; Metazoa; Chordata; Aves; Galliformes; Phasianidae.